RNAcentral lists this ribosomal RNA (492 nucleotides) under uncultured bacterium. RNAcentral describes it as "partial 16S ribosomal RNA". It matches the Rfam family "Bacterial small subunit ribosomal RNA", at positions 29 to 507 of the family's 1533-position model. The record is from RNAcentral.
AGUGAACGCUGGCGGCAGGCCUAACACAUGCAAGUCGAGCGGCAGCACAGUAAGAGCUUGCUCUUUGGUGUGGCGCGUGGCGGACGGGUGAGGUAUAUACGGAAACUUCCUUUUACGUGGGGAAUAACGUAGGAAAACCUACGCUAAUACCGCAUACGUCCUACGGGUGCAAGCCGGGGUUCUUCUAACUCUGCGCGAUUGUAUUAGCCGAUGUCGGAUUAGCUAGUUGGCGGGGUAAAGGCCCACCACGGCGACGAUCCGAAGCGGGUCUGAGAGGAUGGUCAGACACAUUGGAAGUGAGACACGGUCCAGACUCCUACGGGAGGCAGCGGUGGAGAAUCUUAGACGAGGGGCGAGAGGCGAAUCCGAGACAACCGCGUCGGUGAAGAGGGCCUUCGGGUUGGAAAGCCAUUUUGUUGGGAGAGAAGAGCAGCAGGUUAAUAUCCCGCUGUACUGACGGUACCCAAAGAAUAAGCACCGGCUAACUUCGUG